GAUGAACGCUGGCGGCGUGCCUAAUACAUGCAAGUCGAGCGAACAGAUGAGGAGCUUGCUCCUCUGACGUUAGCGGCGGACGGGUGAGUAACACGUGGAUAACCUACCUAUAAGACUGGGAUAACUUCGGGAAACCGGAGCUAAUACCGGAUAAUAUAUUGAACCGCAUGGUUCAAUAGUGAAAGACGGUUUUGCUGUCACUUAUAGAUGGAUCCGCGCCGCAUUAGCUAGUUGGUAAGGUAACGGCUUACCAAGGCAACGAUGCGUAGCCGACCUGAGAGGGUGAUCCGCCACACUGGAACUGAGACACGGUCCAGACUCCUACGGGAGGCCGCAGUAGGGACUCUUCCGCAAUGGGCGAAAGCCUGACGGAGCAACGCCGCGUGAGUGAUGAAGGUCUUCGGAUCGUAAAACUCUGUUAUUAGGGAAGAACAAAUGUGUAAGUAACUAUGCACGUCUUGACGGUACCUAAUCAGAAAGCCACGGCUAACUACGUG
Molecule: ribosomal RNA, 497 nt
Filed under: uncultured bacterium
Lineage: Bacteria
Description: partial 16S ribosomal RNA
Rfam family: Bacterial small subunit ribosomal RNA
Source: RNAcentral